RNAcentral lists this ribosomal RNA (533 nucleotides) under uncultured bacterium. RNAcentral's name for it is "bacterial SSU rRNA". It matches the Rfam family "Bacterial small subunit ribosomal RNA", at positions 777 to 1304 of the family's 1533-position model. The record is from RNAcentral.
AAUAGAUACCCUGGUAGUCCUAGCCGUAAACGAUGGACACUAGGUGUUGGUGGUAUCAACCCCGCCAGUGCCGUAGCUAACGCAUUAAGUGUCCCGCCUGGGGGAGUACGGCCGCAAGGCUAAAACUCAAAGGAAUUGACGGGGGGCCCGCACAAGCAGCGGAGCGUGGGGGUUUUAAUUCGAUGCAACACGAAGAACCUUACCUGGUCUUGACAUCCAUGGAACCCUGCAGAGAUGCGGGGGUGCCGUAAGGAACCAUGAGACAGGUGCUGCAUGGCUGUCGUCAGCUCGUGUCGUGAGAUGUUGGGUUAAGUCCCGCAACGAGCGCAACCCUUGUCCUUAGUUGCCAUCAUUUAGUUGGGAACUCUAAGGAGACCGCCGGUGACAAACCGGAGGAAGGUGGGGAUGACGUCAAGUCAUCAUGGCCUUUAUGACCAGGGCUACACACGUGCUACAAUGGUAGAUACAGAGGGAAGCCGAACGCGCGAGCGGGAGCUAAUCCCAGAAAAUCUAUCGUAGUUCCGGAUUGGAGU